RNAcentral lists this long non-coding RNA (310 nucleotides) under Populus tremula. RNAcentral describes it as "long non-coding RNA (PTRE_LNC001376)". Lineage: Eukaryota; Viridiplantae; Streptophyta; Magnoliopsida; Malpighiales; Salicaceae. The record is from RNAcentral.
UACGAUUAUUAUAUACUCAACCAAAAGUCACAGCCAUGAUAACAGUAACAUUUCCUAUUUCAAAUUUCUCUGUUUUGUUGAAGGAAUUGAAGGUCUUUCAUUUGCAACUUAACAGUAACAUUUCCUAUUUCAAAUUUCUCUGUUUUGUUGAAGGAAUUGAAGGUCUUUCAUUUGCAACUUAACAGCUUCUUUUGGCAAGGGCUUUGGCUCUUGAAUAUUGACCUCGUCACUGCCAUCAGCCACUUUUCUUGCCUUCUCUGCAACAAUUCUUUGUAUUUCACGCUGCUCGACUGAUUGAAAAACUGAACUC